Non-coding RNA from Acanthosepion pharaonis, 103 nucleotides. NCBI's taxonomy places the organism in Eukaryota, Metazoa, Mollusca, Cephalopoda, Sepiida, Sepiidae. The record is from the annotation of a GenBank genome assembly.
CCAUAUUGAAAUACUGGUUCUUGUAUGAUCACCAAAGUUAAGCAGUGUCAAGCCUGGUCAGUACCUAGAUGGGUGACUGCUUAGGAAUACCAGUUGCUGUAAG